UGCGGAGGGAUCAUUACUGAGUUUACGCUCUACAACCCUUUGUGAACAUACCUAUAACUGUUGCUUCGGCGGGUAGGGUCUCCGCGACCCUCCCGGCCUCCCGCCUCCGGGCGGGUCGGCGCCCGCCGGAGGAUAACCAAACUCUGAUUUAACGACGUUUCUUCUGAGUGGUACAAGCAAAUAAUCAAAACUUUUAACAACGGAUCUCUUGGUUCUGGCAUCGAUGAAGAACGCAGCGAAAUGCGAUAAGUAAUGUGAAUUGCAGAAUUCAGUGAAUCAUCGAAUCUUUGAACGCACAUUGCGCCCGCCAGCAUUCUGGCGGGCAUGCCUGUUCGAGCGUCAUUUCAACCCUCAAGCUCUGCUUGGUGUUGGGGCCCUACAGCUGAUGUAGGCCCUCAAAGGUAGUGGCGGACCCUCUCGGAGCCUCCUUUGCGUAGUAACUUUACGUCUCGCACUGGGAUCCGGAGGGACUCUUGCCGUAAAACCCCCAAUUUUCCAAAGGUUGACCUCGGAUCAGGUAGGAAUACCCGCUGAACUUAAGCAUAUCAAUAAGCG
RNAcentral lists this ribosomal RNA (555 nucleotides) under Colletotrichum gloeosporioides. RNAcentral describes it as "eukaryotic LSU rRNA". The stretch from base 189 to 342 matches the Rfam family "5.8S ribosomal RNA". Lineage: Eukaryota; Fungi; Ascomycota; Sordariomycetes; Glomerellales; Glomerellaceae. The record is from RNAcentral.